Molecule: long non-coding RNA, 1293 nt
Filed under: Homo sapiens (human)
Lineage: Eukaryota; Metazoa; Chordata; Mammalia; Primates; Hominidae
Description: PREDICTED lncRNA (TCONS_00182862)
Source: RNAcentral
GCCGGGGCGUCCCCCGCGGGAGCCCGCAGCCACCCGGGACGCGCAUCCAGACGUGGCGCUUCGGACCGGGCACGCUGCGCCCGGGGGCUCGGCGGACCCCGCGUAGCCGCCGCUUCGGAGCUUGUGCGGCGCGGGCUGGCCAGCGGGGCGGCCAGGGCCCGGCCCGCCUCCCCAGCGCCCGCCCGGCUUCUCCCCCUGGCGGUGGGAGCCUCGGCGGCCGCUGGCGACACUAGGCGCACUGAAGCCCGAGCCGAGCCGAGCCCGAGCCGCCGCCGCCGCCGCCGCUGCUGCGCACCGCUCCCGGGCUCCCUCCCAGCGCGCCGGCCGGGGUGUGGGGGGCGGCGGGCCGGAGGGGCGAGGGCGGGCCAGGGGGCGCACACGGGGGUUGGCGCGGAAGACAGGACCCUCAGCCUCGAGGGAGCCCCUAGGUGACCAGGCAAAAUGGCAGUUCCUUCCAGCUGGUCCUCAGAUGGGCACAUCUAUUAGCCUCUGCUCUUGUAAGAAGUUAGCUGCAGAACCCACAUGUGAAUCCUUGUAGGACUCUGGAGAAGAUCAAAUGGGAGCUUAGAUGUGGAAGCUCUUUGGAAACCAAGAAACACUCUGAAAAUGAAAAGGGUGGAAGAGUAAACUGUUCCUGUUUCUCCAUCUUGACAGGAAGCAGAAGUUCUCCUUAGCUGAUUUUUCUUCUUGCCUUAUACUGGGUUCUUUAACACCAGAACAAAAAUAAAUAAAUAAAAGAAUCUUCCAGAAAUUCAUGAAGAGACUUCAGGUCAGGAAAGCCUGAACUUUCUCAUCCAACACCCGUUCAAGUCGGAGGAUGCUGAUUAAUUCAUGAUGGAAAGGUAUCAAUUUCACAGCCCAGACCUCUACAUUCUUGAAAUGCUCUUCUCAUGGGAGACAUUAAAUAAGCUUUGAAUUAACUUAAGCCCUUAAGUAAAAGUGCCAUCAAAUGAUUUCUCAGAAAUUAUAAAGAAACAAAAGGACCAUAAACAAGAUAAGGUGGCAUGAGGAAACAUUACAAGUACCUUUCAGAGCUGACUGGCAAAGAAACUCCUGAGGUGACGGUUCUACCCCAAUAUUACUUCUUCGAAGAGCAACCUAACUGACCUUGUAUUGAAGACAGCGUAACCCCCAAGAGGAAAGGAGCUUGGAGCCCUGAAUCAGAGUAGAAGACAGGCUGAAUGAAUACCAGCCUUGGACUGUUGUGUGAAUGAAAAACAAGUUUUGAGAUUUGUGUGGUUUAUUUAUUAUAGUUACUGUUAUUAUUAAAGUUUUUCACUGCUUUACUCUCAG